AACGAACGCUGGCGGCAUGCCUAACACAUGCAAGUCGAACGAGACCUUCGGGUCUAGUGGCGCACGGGUGCGUAACGCGUGGGAAUCUGCCCUUGGGUCCGGAAUAACUCAGAGAAAUUUGAGCUAAUACCGGAUGAUGACGUAAGUCCAAAGAUUUAUCGCCCAGGGAUGAGCCCGCGUAGGAUUAGCUAGUUGGUGAGGUAAAGGCUCACCAAGGCGACGAUCCUUAGCNGGUCUGAGAGGAUGAUCAGCCACACUGGGACUGAGACACGGCCCAGACUCCUACGGGAGGCAGCAGUGGGGAAUAUUGGACAAUGGGCGAAAGCCUGAUCCAGCAAUGCCGCGUGAGUGAUGAAGGCCUUAGGGUUGUAAAG
RNAcentral lists this ribosomal RNA (374 nucleotides) under uncultured bacterium. RNAcentral describes it as "bacterial SSU rRNA". It matches the Rfam family "Bacterial small subunit ribosomal RNA", at positions 29 to 430 of the family's 1533-position model. The record is from RNAcentral.